RNAcentral lists this unclassified non-coding RNA (348 nucleotides) under soil metagenome. Its description in RNAcentral is "partial contains 5.8S ribosomal RNA, internal transcribed spacer 2, and large subunit ribosomal RNA". The stretch from base 1 to 120 matches the Rfam family "5.8S ribosomal RNA", at positions 35 to 154 of the family's 154-position model. The record is from RNAcentral.
GAUGAAGAACGUAGCAAAAUGCGAUAAGUAAUGUGAAUUGCAGAAUUCAGUGAAUCAUCGAAUCUUUGAACGCGCAUUGCGCCCGCUGGUAUUCCGGCGGGCAUGCCUGUUCGAGCGUCAUUUCAACCCUCAAGCCCCCGGGUUUGGUGUUGGGGAUCGGCUCUGCCCUUCUGGGCGGUGCCGCCCCCGAAAUACAUUGGCGGUCUCGCUGCAGCCUCCAUUGCGUAGUAGCUAACACCUCGCAACUGGAACGCGGCGCGGCCAUGCCGUAAAACCCCAACUUCUGAAUGUUGACCUCGGAUCAGGUAGGAAUACCCGCUGAACUUAAGCAUAUCAAUAAGCGGAGGA